AUUACUGGGCGUAAAGCGCAUGCAGGUGGUUUGUUAAGUCAGAUGUGAAAGCCCGGGGCUCAACCUCGGAACUGCAUUUGAAACUGGCAAACUAGAGUACUGUAGAGGGGGGUAGAAUUUCAGGUGUAGCGGUGAAAUGCGUAGAGAUCUGAAGGAAUACCAGUGGCGAAGGCGGCCCCCUGGACAGAUACUGACACUCAGAUGCGAAAGCGUGGGGAGCAAACAGGAUUAGAUACCCUGGUAGUCCACGCCGUAAACGAUGUCUACUUGGAGGUUGUGGCCUUGAGCCGUGGCUUUCGGAGCUAACGCGUUAAGUAGACCGCCUGGGGAGUACGGUCGCAAGAUUAAAACUCAAAUGAAUUGACGGGGGCCCGCACAAGCGGUGGAGCAUGUGGUUUAAUUCGAUGCAACGCGAAGAACCUUACCUACUCUUGACAUCCAGAGAACUUAGCAGAGAUGCUUUGGUGCCUUCGGGAACUCUGAGACAGGUGCUGCAUGGCUGUCGUCAGCUCGUGUUGUGAAAUGUUGGGUUAAGUCCCGCAACGAGCGCAACCCUUAUCCUUGUUUGCCAGCGAGUAAUGUCGGGAACUCCAGGGAGACUGCCGGUGAUAAACCGGAGGAAGGUGGGGACGACGUCAAGUCAUCAUGGCCCUUACGAGUAGGGCUACACACGUGCUACAAUGGCGCAUACAGAGGGCAGCCAACUCGCGAGAGUGAGCGAAUCCCAAAAAGUGCGUCGUAGUCCGGAUUGGAGUCUGCAACUCGACUCCAUGAAGUCGGAAUCGCUAGUAAUCGUAGAUCAGAAUGCUACGGUGAAUACGUUCCCGGGCCUUGUACACACCGCCCGUCACACCAUGGGAGUGGGCUGCAAAAGAAGUGGGUAGUUUAACCUUCGGGA
RNAcentral lists this ribosomal RNA (898 nucleotides) under Vibrio fortis. RNAcentral describes it as "bacterial SSU rRNA". It matches the Rfam family "Bacterial small subunit ribosomal RNA", at positions 550 to 1447 of the family's 1533-position model. Lineage: Bacteria; Pseudomonadati; Pseudomonadota; Gammaproteobacteria; Vibrionales; Vibrionaceae. The record is from RNAcentral.